CCUACGGGUGGCAGCAGUGAGGAAUAUUGGUCAAUGGACGAAAGCCUGAACCAGCCACGCCGCGUGAAGGAUGACUGCCCUAUGGGUUGUAACCUUCUUUUAUAAAGGAAUAAAACGAGGCACGUGUGCCUUAUUGCAUGUACUUUACGAAUAAGGAUCGGCGAAAUCCGUGCCAGCAGCCGCGGUAAUACGGAGGAUCCGAGCGUUAUCCGGAUUUAUUGGGUUUAAAGGGAGCGUAGAGGGGUUGUUAAGUCAGUUGUGAAAGUUUGGGGCUCAACCCUAAAAUUGCAAUUGAUACUGGCAGUCUUGAGUACGGGAGAGGUAGGCGGAAUUCGUGGUGUAGCGGUGAAAUGCUUAGAUAUCACGAAGAACCCCGAUUGCGAAGGCAGCUUACU
RNAcentral lists this ribosomal RNA (395 nucleotides) under uncultured bacterium. Its description in RNAcentral is "partial 16S ribosomal RNA". It matches the Rfam family "Bacterial small subunit ribosomal RNA", at positions 338 to 730 of the family's 1533-position model. The record is from RNAcentral.